GAUGAACGCUGGCGGUAUGCCUUACACAUGCAAGUCGUACGAGAGUUUUUAAUUCAAGUGGCGGACGGGUGAGUAACACGUAAGAAUUUACCUUUAGGAGGGGGAUAUUAAUACCCCAUAUGCUUUCGAGUGAAAUGGAUUUCCGCCUAAAGAGAAGCUUGCGGCUGAUUAGCUUGUUGGUGAGGUAAUGGCUCACCAAGGCGACGAUCAGUAUCUGGUUUGAGAGGAUGAUCAGACACACUGGGACUGAGACACGGCCCAGACUCCUACGGGAGGCAGCAGUGGGGAAUUUUCCGCAAUGGGCGAAAGCCUGACGGAGCAACGCCGCGUGAGGGAUGAAGGCCUCUGGGCUGUAAACCUCUUUUAUCAAGGAAGAAGAUCUGACGGUACUUGAUGAAUAAGCCACGGCUAAUUCCGUG
RNAcentral lists this ribosomal RNA (419 nucleotides) under uncultured bacterium. RNAcentral's name for it is "bacterial SSU rRNA". It matches the Rfam family "Bacterial small subunit ribosomal RNA", at positions 28 to 507 of the family's 1533-position model. The record is from RNAcentral.